AAUCCGUGAUGAGGACAUUUGGUUUGAUAACCCUUGAGGCGCUCCCAAGCUUCAUAGAAGGUUUUAGUUUGCUUCUAACUGAAUCCGGAUAUCUCAUUCCGGAGUUU
This is a non-coding RNA of Arabidopsis suecica, 107 nucleotides long. The record is from the annotation of a GenBank genome assembly. NCBI's taxonomy places the organism in Eukaryota, Viridiplantae, Streptophyta, Magnoliopsida, Brassicales, Brassicaceae.